RNAcentral lists this ribosomal RNA (253 nucleotides) under uncultured bacterium. RNAcentral's name for it is "partial 16S ribosomal RNA". It matches the Rfam family "Bacterial small subunit ribosomal RNA", at positions 524 to 776 of the family's 1533-position model. The record is from RNAcentral.
UACGUAGGGUGCAAGCGUUCAUCGGAAUUACUGGGCGUAAAGCGUGCGCAGGCGGUUUUGUUAGACCGAUGGGAAAUCCCCGGGCUUAACCUGGGAACUGCAUUGGUGACCGCAAGGCUUGAGUGUGUCAGAGGGAGGUGGAAUUCCGCGUGUAGCAGUGAAAUGCGUAGAUAUGCGGAGGAACACCGAUGGCGAAGGCAGCCUCCUGGGAUAACACUGACGCUCAUGCACGAAAGCGUGGGGAGCAAACAGG